ACCCGCUGAACUUAAGCAUAUCACUAAGCGGAGGAAAAGAAAUUAACUAAGAUUGCCUCAGUAACGGCGAGUGAAGCGGCAAGAGCCCAAGCUGGAAAUCUUCACACUGCGUGUGACGAAUUGUAAUCUAAAGAGGGUUCGCUCAACGGGCGGUGGCGCAGAAGUGCCUUAGAACGGGCCGCCAGAGAGGGUGACAGCCCCGUAUGUGGUGCCACUGCUUAACGAGCGGGUCCCCGAAGAGUCGGGUUGUUUUGUAUUGCAGCCCUAAGUGGGAGAUAAACUUCUUCUAAGGCUAAAUACCUAUGGGAAACCGAUAGCGAACAAGUACUGUGAAGGAAAGAUGAAAAGAACUUUGAAAAGAGAGUCAAAAGACUUGAAAUCGUUGAGAAGGAAGCGGUAGAAAUUUAUUCUUCGGCGGUGAACGGUGACUUCUGCCUAUCCAUUGCCGGCUGCCAGCACUUCAUAAGGCUGCGGCUGGCACAUGGGGAAGCGGCUGGCUUGUUCUCCGUCGUGAGGCAAAAUGAGGUCGCACAUCCGCAGAGGCUCCCCAAACCUGGCCCGAUUCGUUGGGUAGUUUGGGGUUCGCCGGUGGGCGUGCGGCCUGAGGGUGCUUCGUGCGAUUUCGCCAAAAUGGUUUU
This 638-nucleotide ribosomal RNA is filed under the name uncultured fungus. RNAcentral's name for it is "eukaryotic LSU rRNA". It matches the Rfam family "Eukaryotic large subunit ribosomal RNA", at positions 23 to 542 of the family's 3401-position model. The record is from RNAcentral. Lineage: Eukaryota; Fungi.